Long non-coding RNA from Sapajus apella (tufted capuchin), 842 nucleotides. RefSeq lists it as uncharacterized. NCBI's taxonomy places the organism in Eukaryota, Metazoa, Chordata, Mammalia, Primates, Cebidae. The transcript is spliced from 2 exons. The record is from RefSeq and is a predicted model, not a curated record.
ACUCCAGCCUACGUGACAGAGCGAGACUCCGUCCCAAAAAUAUAAAAAUAAAAUAACAAAGAAACGUGUGCAGGACUCAGCUGGUCGCACCCCUUUGCAGGCCAGCUGUGCCGAGAGCUGAAUCUGUCUUAUGGAGCACAGUGAAUUUGGGCUUGGAAUCACUCAGAGUGCUGGGUUCCACGCGUGGCUCUGUCAUUUACUGUCUCAAUAGCAACUUCCUCAUCUGGAAUAUGGGACAGUAACACUUGGCUUCCUGUGAUAAUGAAAAUGAAGCAAUAUAUGUAAAUAUUUAGCCAGGGUGGGUUUACUGUAAGUUCUUGGCAUAUGGUUCUGCCUCAAAAUAUAGGGGAUGAACAUGCAUGGCAGAUGUACAAGAUACACUUCCCACGCUUGUUUGCAUUUUUCUUUCUCUAAGUAUUUCCACAGUGACAUGCCAAGUCAAGAAGACUGCUAUUAACCCAAGAACCCGGGGUGUGGCCUGGCCUGGGAUUAUUAGGAGGAGCGAAUAAAUGUCAUGGGGCCUGGGGGCAGUCCUGGACUGGGCUCUGCAGCCAUGGGGCAGGAGACAAGGACCACUCAGCAUUUCUGGAACAAAUUGGUGCUCUGCGAACUCACUUUCUAGUCCCAAUCAAUGGCAGUGAAUCUUGUGGAUGAGAGACCCGGAGCAGAGACAGCCCCAGCAGCCAGCCAGCCAGCACUGUCACCAGACACGUGAAUGAAGCUACCUUAGAGCAUCCAGCCAGCAUCCUGCCUAACUGGUGGGAUCAGCAGAACAGCCCAGAAAACCCCAUCCCUGAUUGCUGACCAUGGAGUACACAAAUAAAACGGUGAUUAAAAAUAAA